UUCACCCCCGGGUUUGGAUGGCCGGGUCCUUCAUCUCCUCCGGCCCGCCGCCGCCACCGCCGUAGUCCCCGCCGGACCCGCGACGCCUGUCCCCACCCACCCUUCGCAGCAUCGACCAGCUCCACUCAUCUGACUCCCGCAGGAAGCCAGCGAUGGCGCACCCCAUCCCAGCAAGCAGCUGCGUGCUUGCUUCAGCUCGGGCUGUCCGCCGGGCAUGGCGGCCUGUGCCGCACGUCCUGGAGUCGCUCAUUCCUCUUAAGCUUACAAACCACUCUGCGCGGUCUUGAAUAAUACUCUCUUGCUCCUCUUUAUGUUCUUGCGAUGUGCUGUGCUCUUCUGCAAUUUUAAAUGAUCUAGUGAUACUGUUCCCUUAUCUUCUUGAGUUGGAAUCUUUUUAGAGAUGAAAGUUUCCAUUCCAAUCCUCUUCCAGAGACAAAGUAAAUGCCAUCUAAGACAACCACAAUUUCAAUUCUUCCCGGGUAACGUGAACUGAACAUCAGUCAGACUCUUCUCCUAGUUUAAAAUCAGGAUGUGAAACUAGUAGUACAGGCUUUGUAAUUUUUUUCUUUCUCAUAAGGGCAGUCCGUGCUUGUACUUCGAAAAAUAGAAAACUUGGAGUAGUGGUGUGAUGUCUGGAACCAAGGGCUACAUGAGCAUCAUAACUGUAACAUCCAACUGAAGACAACAAAAAUCUGUUUUGUGGAUGAUAAAUUCUCAAACUGAAUACAGAGUAGCAGUGCAGUGCGCAUUUAUGUGAACAAUAUAAUAUACAGCUGAAAUUCACUAAACGAAAUCUUUAUAUGACUAAUUCUACUAUGAUAAGUAGUUUUUUGUUUAAUUUGUGUAGGAAACAGAGUCAACCUUUUUGUCAAAUUUUAUGAUCUCCUCUGUUUGACAUUACUAAUACCUGUUCAAUUGAAGGUUGGUACUGGUGCUCGAUCUGAGAAGAUAGGGACGUACAAGGACAACAGAGUGACAGACAUCGGUUGAAGAUGAAUUUUGAACUGACUAGCUUCCUUUUAGGAGAUAUCAGAUCUGCUGUUCAGUCUUGUUCCACAAUGGAGCAGCAGGAGCACUUGGAGGAAAUUGCCACUUUUGUGGGUGCGACAAAGGUAUGAUCUGUGGAAUUGGCCCCUCAGAAGCAGGUCAUCAAACAGACGAUGUGUUUAAAUGGAUGAAGGUUGAUGGAUAAGCUGUACAUGAAGAAUCCGACAAAACUCAACAUAGGCACAUUUUUCUGUAGUUCAUGGUCAUGGUCAUGACUAAUGUCCCAGAACAUAGCAAUGCAUCUCAGCUUCCCUGUUGGUGGCAGAUUAUUGGAUUAUUAGAUAACAGACAUGAUAUGCACAAUUUUCGAUUGCUCCGGUAUUCACAAUUAAAUAUACUUCAAUUAUGCUG
Molecule: long non-coding RNA, 1398 nt
Organism: Setaria italica (foxtail millet)
Lineage: Eukaryota; Viridiplantae; Streptophyta; Magnoliopsida; Poales; Poaceae
Exons: 3
Source: RefSeq, a predicted model, not a curated record